CCUACGGGUGGCAGCAGUGAGGAAUAUUGGUCAAUGGGCGCAAGCCUGAACCAGCCAAGUAGCGUGCAGGAUGACGGCCCUACGGGUUGUAAACUUCUUUUGUGCGGGGAUAAAGUGCGUCACGUGUGACUAAUUGUAAGUACCCUAUGAAUAAGGACCGGCUAACUCCGUGCCAGCAGCCGCGGUAAUACGGAGGGUCCGAGCGUUAUCCGGAUUUAUUGGGUUUAAAGGGAGCGUAGGCGGGAUGUUAAGUCAGCGGUGAAAUUUCGGGGCGCAACCCUGGAAUUGCGAGUGAUACUGGCUGCCUUGAGUGCACGCGAGGUAGGCGGAAUUCGUGGUGUAGCGGUGAAAUGCUUAGAUAUCACGAAGAACUCCGAUUGCGAAGGCAGCAUACUGGCGCGCAACUGACGCUGAUGCUCGAAAGCGUGGGUAUCAAACAGGAUUAGAUACCCUGGUAGUC
Molecule: ribosomal RNA, 460 nt
Filed under: uncultured bacterium
Lineage: Bacteria
Description: partial 16S ribosomal RNA
Rfam family: Bacterial small subunit ribosomal RNA
Source: RNAcentral